Molecule: ribosomal RNA, 880 nt
Filed under: Bacillus tequilensis
Lineage: Bacteria; Bacillati; Bacillota; Bacilli; Caryophanales; Bacillaceae
Also listed under: 1 other name
Description: bacterial SSU rRNA
Rfam family: Bacterial small subunit ribosomal RNA
Source: RNAcentral
GCAGUCGAGCGGACAGAUGGGAGCUUGCUCCCUGAUGUUAGCGGCGGACGGGUGAGUAACACGUGGGUAACCUGCCUGUAAGACUGGGAUAACUCCGGGAAACCGGGGCUAAUACCGGAUGGUUGUUUGAACCGCAUGGUUCAAACAUAAAAGGUGGCUUCGGCUACCACUUACAGAUGGACCCGCGGCGCAUUAGCUAGUUGGUGAGGUAACGGCUCACCAAGGCAACGAUGCGUAGCCGACCUGAGAGGGUGAUCGGCCACACUGGGACUGAGACACGGCCCAGACUCCUACGGGAGGCAGCAGUAGGGAAUCUUCCGCAAUGGACGAAAGUCUGACGGAGCAACGCCGCGUGAGUGAUGAAGGUUUUCGGAUCGUAAAGCUCUGUUGUUAGGGAAGAACAAGUACCGUUCGAAUAGGGCGGUACCUUGACGGUACCUAACCAGAAAGCCACGGCUAACUACGUGCCAGCAGCCGCGGUAAUACGUAGGUGGCAAGCGUUGUCCGGAAUUAUUGGGCGUAAAGGGCUCGCAGGCGGUUUCUUAAGUCUGAUGUGAAAGCCCCCGGCUCAACCGGGGAGGGUCAUUGGAAACUGGGGAACUUGAGUGCAGAAGAGGAGAGUGGAAUUCCACGUGUAGCGGUGAAAUGCGUAGAGAUGUGGAGGAACACCAGUGGCGAAGGCGACUCUCUGGUCUGUAACUGACGCUGAGGAGCGAAAGCGUGGGGAGCGAACAGGAUUAGAUACCCUGGUAGUCCACGCCGUAAACGAUGAGUGCUAAGUGUUAGGGGGUUUCCGCCCCUUAGUGCUGCAGCUAACGCAUUAAGCACUCCGCCUGGGGAGUACGGUCGCAAGACUGAAACUCAAAGGAAUUGACGGGGG